GAGUUUGAUCCUGGCUCAGAGUGAACGCUGGCGGUAGGCCUAACACAUGCAAGUCGAACGGCAGCACAGGAGAGCUUGCUCUCUGGGUGGCGAGUGGCGGACGGGUGAGGAAUACAUCGGAAUCUACUUUUUCGUGGGGGAUAACGUAGGGAAACUUACGCUAAUACCGCAUACGACCUACGGGUGAAAGCAGGGGAUCUUCGGACCUUGCGCGAUUGAAUGAGCCGAUGUCGGAUUAGCUAGUUGGCGGGGUAAAGGCCCACCAAGGCGACGAUCCGUAGCUGGUCUGAGAGGAUGAUCAGCCACACUGGAACUGAGACACGGUCCAGACUCCUACGGGAGGCAGCAGUGGGGAAUAUUGGACAAUGGGCGCAAGCCUGAUCCAGCCAUACCGCGUGGGUGAAGAAGGCCUUCGGGUUGUAAAGCCCUUUUGUUGGGAAAGAAAUCCAGCUGGUUAAUACCCGGUUGGGAUGACGGUACCCAAAGAAUAAGCACCGGCUAACUUCGUGCCAGCAGCCGCGGUAAU
RNAcentral lists this ribosomal RNA (526 nucleotides) under uncultured bacterium. Its description in RNAcentral is "bacterial SSU rRNA". It matches the Rfam family "Bacterial small subunit ribosomal RNA", at positions 9 to 524 of the family's 1533-position model. The record is from RNAcentral.